This 253-nucleotide ribosomal RNA is filed under the name uncultured bacterium. RNAcentral's name for it is "partial 16S ribosomal RNA". It matches the Rfam family "Bacterial small subunit ribosomal RNA", at positions 524 to 776 of the family's 1533-position model. The record is from RNAcentral.
UACGAAGGGGGCUAGCGUUGUUCGGAAUUACUGGGCGUAAAGCGUGCGCAGGCGGCUUUGCAAGACAGAUGUGAAAUCCCCGGGCUCAACCUGGGAACUGCAUUUGUGACUGCAUGGCUGGAGUGCGGCAGAGGGGGAUGGAAUUCCGCGUGUAGCAGUGAAAUGCGUAGAUAUGCGGAGGAACACCGAUGGCGAAGGCAAUCCCCUGGGCCUGCACUGACGCUCAUGCACGAAAGCGUGGGGAGCAAACAGG